GACGAACGCUGGCGGCGUGCUUAACACAUGCAAGUCGAACGAUGAACCCGGAGCUUGCUCUGGGGGAUUAGUGGCGAACGGGUGAGUAACACGUGAGUAACCUGCCCUUGACUCUGGGAUAAGCGUUGGAAACGACGGCUAAUACCGGAUAGGACCUUGGAUCGCAUGAUCUGGGGUGGAAAGUUUUUUCGGUCUGGUAUGGAUUCGCGGCCUCUCAGCUUGUUUGUUAGGUAACGGCUCACCAAGGCUACGACGGGUAGCCGGCCUGCACGGGUGCCCAGCCACGCUGGGGAUGAGGCACGGACCAGGCUCCUACGAGAGGCAGGCGAGGGGAAAAUUGCACAAGGAGCGAAGGCCUGAGGGAGCAACGCCGCGUGCGGGAUGACGGCCUUCGGGUUGUAAACCGCUUUUAGUAGGAAAGAAGGGCCUCGGCUUGACGGUACCUGCAGAAAAAGGACCGGCUAACUACGUG
This 472-nucleotide ribosomal RNA is filed under the name uncultured bacterium. Its description in RNAcentral is "partial 16S ribosomal RNA". It matches the Rfam family "Bacterial small subunit ribosomal RNA", at positions 28 to 507 of the family's 1533-position model. The record is from RNAcentral.